AGAAAAUUUGUGAAUGUGCUGGUCAUGCUCGUGGUCAGGGUGGUGACCAUGGUACUGAAUGUAGAUGUAGCCAUGGUCAAGUUAGAAGUAGAGAUGUUCACAACCAAGGAACAUGUUUCUGGACUUUGAGUCACCAGGGACAUUCUAACAUUCAAAUUCAACUACCAUUGGCCAAAGAAAACAUUGAGAGUGAUGAUAAUGAUGACAAAGUCGAGGUUAUAAAUGCAAAGAGUAAUUCUAAAAUUGCUGAAAAUGUUUCAGCUGCUAUCACAAAUGAAGAGGAGGAUAUCUUUGGUGAUUUGGAUGAUCUCAAUUUUAAGCAUAAGAUACCAACUCCAUCCAUCUUUGAUUAUGAUUUUGAAAACCAUUGGAACAUCAACAGUUCGUAUGAGAGUAAACAUGUUUCCGAAGAUGGUGGGUCAAGUUCGUACUAUUAUUUAUGAACAUCAAC
Molecule: long non-coding RNA, 451 nt
Organism: Capsella rubella
Lineage: Eukaryota; Viridiplantae; Streptophyta; Magnoliopsida; Brassicales; Brassicaceae
Exons: 5
Source: RefSeq, a predicted model, not a curated record